GACGAACGCUGGCGGCGUGCCUAAUACAUGCAAGUCGAGCGGAGUUUUUAAAAGCUUGCUUUUAAAAACUCAGCGGCGGACGGGUGAGUAACACGUGGGCAACCUGCCCUGUAGACUGGGAUAACUUCGGGAAACCGAAGCUAAUACCGGAUAAUCAUAGAAGUUGCAUAGCUUCUAUGUAAAAGUUGGGUUUACCUAACACUACAGGAUGGGCCCGCGUCGCAUUAGCUAGUUGGUAAGGUAACGGCUUACCAAGGCGACGAUGCGUAGCCGACCUGAGAGGGUGAUCGGCCACACUGGGACUGAGACACGGCCCAGACUCCUACGGGAGGCAGCAGUAGGGAAUCUUCCGCAAUGGACGAAAGUCUGACGGAGCAACGCCGCGUGAGCGAUGAAGGCCUUUCGGGUCGUAAAGCUCUGUUGUUAGGGAAAGAAACAAAGUGCUAAUUCGAAUAAG
RNAcentral lists this ribosomal RNA (457 nucleotides) under Bacilli bacterium oral taxon C43. RNAcentral's name for it is "bacterial SSU rRNA". It matches the Rfam family "Bacterial small subunit ribosomal RNA", at positions 28 to 473 of the family's 1533-position model. The record is from RNAcentral. Lineage: Bacteria; Bacillati; Bacillota; Bacilli.